Non-coding RNA from Molossus molossus (Pallas's mastiff bat), 1243 nucleotides. The record is from the annotation of a RefSeq genome assembly. NCBI's taxonomy places the organism in Eukaryota, Metazoa, Chordata, Mammalia, Chiroptera, Molossidae.
AUGCAGAGGAUCUGUUCGCUCAUCUAUCUCACCCUCUUCUGGGCAGGAGCCAUGUCAGCGAUCGUGUUGGUGUCUCAAGACCAAGUAAUGACUGUGUCCCUGGGGGAGUCUGCCACUUUCAGGUGCACCAUGGAAGGAGAGACAAUUAAUAACUACUACAUCAGCUGGUACAGGAGGACCCAGGGUAACGCAAUGACUUUCCUACACCGAGAAGGGGGCACAUAUGAGCCCAAUUUGGUGAACAAGUUCAAGGCUUCCAUUGAUCAGUCAAACAACCAAGCUGUGCUUGAGCUCUUCAAAGCAACACAGAGUGACGAAGGAAUUUACUACUGUGCCUCUGAGCACCACCCUGCUGCUGGACUGAGAGUUGAACUCACCUUUGGAAAAGGAACCCGUGUAACUGUGGAACCAAAAAGGCAGCCUCCAGCCAAGCCAUCUGUUUUCGUCAUGAGAAAUGGGACCAACGUUGCUUGUCUGGUGAAGGAUUUCUACCCUAAGAAUAUCAAUAUAAGUCUCCAGUCAUCCAAGAAAAUAAUGGAAUUUGACCCCACCAUCGUCGUCUCUCCCAGUGGGAAGUACAGUGCUGUCAAGCUGGGUCGAUAUGAAGAUUCUAAUGCAGUGACGUGUUCAGUUGAACACAACAAUCAAAUCGUGUACUCCACUGACUUUGAACCGAUGCAGAAUUCUUCAGAUAACCUAAAACCAACAGAACCUGAAAAGAAACAGCAAACUUCAAAGAUCUGCCAUGCCCUCAAAGUUCAAGCUGGGAAGGUGAACAUGGUAUCCCUCACAGUGCUGGGGCUCCGAAUGCUGUUUGCCAAGACUGUUGCUGUCAAUUUUCUCCUGACUGCCAAGUUAUUAUUCUGUUAAGGCUGCCGGGCAGGGGAGGGCUAUACUCCCUGAAAGAAAACCAAAGCCAGCAGAAGUGCUCCGAAGGCUUCCAACUUCUCAGUGAUUCAAGUUAACCCGCCUCAGCUUUGCUUAAAUGGCUGCUUCCCAAACAAGUUUUUCUUUUUUUUUUUUUUUUUGGCACGUGCCACUAGCGGGAACAGAACCCGGGACUCUCUGGUCCACAGGUCAAUGCUCCAACCGCUGAGCCAAACCUGCCAGGGCCCAAACAAGUUUUUCUUUGAAGGCAACUAACCCAGCUCAUCCUCCAGCAUGGUGGAAAGAUAAAGUCCUGGGGGGUAGGAUUUAUGGUCCUAAGCGCUUCAUAUGCUGCUUUAUAAAUGGAUAUAGAGAU